GCCUGGGUGGCUCAGUCAGUUAAGCAUCCAACUUUGGCUCAGGUCAUGAUCUCGCAGUUUGUGGGUUCGAGCCCCACCUCAGGCU
RNAcentral lists this transfer RNA (85 nucleotides) under Felis catus (domestic cat). It matches the Rfam family "tRNA". Rfam says of the family: Transfer RNA (tRNA) molecules are approximately 80 nucleotides in length. The record is from Rfam by way of RNAcentral. Lineage: Eukaryota; Metazoa; Chordata; Mammalia; Carnivora; Felidae.